GAGGCGUCAGGAUGCAAUGGAAACAUUUGGGAAGGAGUUGCAAGGAUGUGGUGGGAUGCAAUGGGGGGUUGGGAAGGGGUUGCAAGGAGGCGUCGGGAUGCAAUGGGGAGGUUUGGGAAGGGGUUGCAAGGAGGCGUCGGGAUGCACCGAGGACCCCCCAAUUUUUUGGCAAGCACUAGUCGCGAGGGUUUUGCAGCCCCAGCCUCCUUGCAGGGGGGGUCACCCGCCUCGCAGGCACCUCCCUCUUCCCUCGCCCCCCCCCUCCAGUCCCCAUCUCGAAGCCGCAAGUGGUGGUGGCCUCCUCGACGGUGCUGGAGCUCAGCGAGUUCUUCACCCUCAACUGCUCGCACGAGAACGGCACCAAGCCCAGCUACACGUGGCUCAAGGACGGGCGGCCGCUGAGCAACGACUCCCGCCUGCUGCUCUCGCCCGACCACAAGGUCCUCACCAUCACCCGCGUCCUCAUGGCCGACGACGACGUCUACAGCUGCCUGGUGGAGAACCCCAUCAGCCACGGCCGCAGCGUCCCCGUCAAGCUCACCGUCUACCGCCGCAGCUCCCUCUACAUCAUCCUCUCCACCGGCGGCAUCUUCCUCCUCGUCACGCUGGUGACCGUCUGCGCUUGCUGGAAGCCCUCCAAAAAGGGCAAGCGGGGAGCGGAGGCGCCCGGCGCGGCCGACUUCGCCGAGCAGGACGAGGAGCACCUCAAGCACGAGGGUGAGCGCGGGCGGGGGGGUGAGGGUGUCCCCGGGGUGUCCC
This 759-nucleotide long non-coding RNA is filed under the name Dromaius novaehollandiae (emu). RNAcentral describes it as "lncRNA (ENSDNVG00000006928.1)". Lineage: Eukaryota; Metazoa; Chordata; Aves; Casuariiformes; Dromaiidae. The record is from RNAcentral.